Long non-coding RNA from Rhincodon typus (whale shark), 3415 nucleotides. RefSeq lists it as uncharacterized. The record is from RefSeq and is a predicted model, not a curated record. The transcript has 5 exons. NCBI's taxonomy places the organism in Eukaryota, Metazoa, Chordata, Chondrichthyes, Orectolobiformes, Rhincodontidae.
GGUGUCUCACUCCAUCAGUCAGUCUGAUUACUGGUGCAGUGAGGGUGGACUGGUUAUAAUUGAGGCAAAAAAAGGAUAGAGUCUCCUACCAGCGACAUCGCCGGCUGACUAAUUAGCCAAGGAGGAAAGCUCCGAGCUCCGGUAAAGAGGGUGAUGGGCGCCGACUUGUCAUUGACGAAUCACCGGUUACUGAGAGGAAUGAGGCACCGCUGGGACAGAGACUUUCAUGGGGAGUUCGUUCACACUUCUGCAGCCUGGAGGGUGGUGAUGUGAAUGGAAGUGAACACUUGGCCUCCACCUCGCCUGACACAGAAUUUCUGGAUAAAUCUUUGUUUCCAUAUGGUGCAUAUUUAAUUGACCCAAAUAAAUAUUCUGGGAUUCUCACGAGGACUGACUAAAUAUGAACUGGAAGGAACAGUUUAAGAGCAAAAUAUUAGGAGGAUUGAAUUCCAUAAAUUACUCUGGCUAUCCGACAGCCGUUCUUCACUGGCUAGUUUUAUGUCAGUGUCAAGCAGCUAAAGCUGCCAGUUGAAGAACUGUUGAGGUUGGCUAUUUGCAACGGGACACUGAAGAGGAUGUGAAUGUGUGGCUUUGUGGGCCAGAAGGGACUUAACUGUUCUAGUCUUGUACCUACUUUCUGUGAUUCACGCACAAGAAGCAUAAGAACUGAUGCUGCACUAUUUGGUGUCAUUAGCAAGGUACGUUACUAUAGUUCAGGCCAUAAUUACUCUAAACUGAUGAAUAAAUGGCUUGCAGUGUUUAAGGUUAUUUCAAGUAGAAGUUUCUACAGUGUAUGAUAUAAAAAUGUGUAAGGGAGUUUAAGUGAUGAUGCAGAAACUGCUUACAUACAAAUGAUUAGCAUCAGAAAACAGUCCUGAUGCAUGUAUUUUUUCAUUUAUCCAUAUUGAGUACAGAGAUUGAAAGAGCUUUAAUGUACUUUUCUUUAACAAAAUGCUGUUAUAGAAUUCAAUUUAAAGCAACGGAAUAAUAGAAUAAUUUCCUUAUGUGCUGCAUGACUAUUUGAAUGUGGUUUUAAGUUGUAAACUGCCAGUGAUUUUAAUUGAAUAAUCUAAUUUGUGAUUUUUAAAAUUAAAAUUAAACAAUGUACUCCUAAUAAUAGAUUACCCUGUGCUGUCACAGCAUAAAACAAACUAGAACUACAAUCCCAUAAGCCUUCUCUGGCACUUGUUGCACUACAGUAUCUAUUGACUUUACUACUGUCUCCUCAGAAUCUGAGUCUGCCUCCAAUCUGCCAUUUUAAAUUCUUUGUACAGAGACCAAAUAUGUCUUUUGCUGUGGCUUUCUGACAUUUUUUAUUAAAUGACUCCCUAUGUAGCAUUGAAAGCCACUGUGACCCUCCAUAGAGCUAUCACUUUUGUAUGAGAAGUCAAAGACAACUGUCAGUAGCUAACAAGUGUUUGUGAAGACGAACUAUGCAAAGCAAAUGGAUGCCAGGAAAUGAUGCUUGUAAAUAAUACUUUUUUUUUGAAGUGAUCGUUUUUAAGUUAGAUAAUUCAUUAUUGUCUAUGGCUUUAGGGCCAUUCAAUACUCAACACUUAAUUACGCAUCUAGCCAUUUAAUUUAUUGUGUCUAUACAUGUGAAUAAAAUACUCGGUGAUAUCACUGAAAAUGAAUGUUGCUUUGUCUAAUUUUGAUAUCAAUAUUUCUCAAAUUACAAAGAUUUUACACCUGGCUGAGGGCAGACACUAUGAUUUAAGUGGGACAGUACAACAGAAUAACCUGUAAUUAGCCAUAAAGUAGAUUAACAAUUUUGGAAACUAAGCUAAUUGUGUUAAACCAAGGAACUCCUUAAAGACACAACUUACUAAUAAUCAGUUUUCCUUUUAUGUUGAGAGUAAUAGAGGCGUCUUUGUUUUGUUUUAAAACUGCAGAUCUUCUAAAUAGCCGAUAUCACUUGUAUUGUUUUUAAAAGUCAACAGCCAACAUCACUUCAUGUGUUUUUUCCCUACCAUUUUGAAAUUGUUUCAUUUGGUUCCUGUAAAGAAGCAUAAUUUCCUGUUCUGAAUAGACAGACCUUGAUCUGAGAUCUGUGCUGUUAUUGAAACUAAUUCAAGAUUAGAUGAAAUUUGAUUGUGACAACUUAUCAUGGCCAUGUAUAGACAAUGACUGAACCAAUCCAUAAGUAUUGGCUUGAACCUGUCCCUGAUAUUAUUAGCAUAGUGUGUUUUUAAAAUGUGAAUGUGCCUUGCUGGUCAUAGUGUUUGAAUUGUCUGAGUUGCAAAAAUUUAUCCUGAAUAUUUCAAAUUUUGUAGUCAUUGAAGAUUAAAGAAAAGGAUCUAACGUAGAAUUGAAGUUAAUGUCUAUUAAUGAGUGAAUCCUUUUAAAAUGGUAUGGUUUUGGUUUGAGCAAAAGUUGGUUUUUCAGUAGUUACUCUAUUCAUACAAAAUGCUUCACCAUUAUUUUAUAUUUCUGGACCUUUCCCAAUGCAUUUUUCUAAAAAAUUCAAGCUUGUCCAAAAAAAAACAUGAGAACCAAUUUAAUAUCUUAAUGGAUGGAUCACAGUUGCAUAUGAUAUUGGAUCUUGGCUUACUGUCAAGCUAGUGAAGAGAAAUGGAAGAUUGGACUACUAAACACCAGUAGAGGCAGAGAUCUAAUGAAUGGGGGAGGAGCUUUGAAUGUGAUGUUGGAAGAAGAAACAAUACUCCACUUGGCUCACAUCUCAGUUUUGAAACAUAUUUCUAUGUUGCUUGAAGUCUGCAGCAGUUCUUCUUAGGCUGUUAGGCUAUCAGUAAAUUUGUUUUUUUUCUAGAUGCAGUCGUUGCUGUCUCCUUGGCAAACCAAUAUUGCUGCUGACAUUAAUGCAUGGAGUAUCUUUUUUUUUUUAAAAAUUGCCAUGACUGGCAGUGUAUGUUUGACUCCGCAUUGUGUAUACAAUGUAUACACAAUGUAUACUCAAGGCUGUUUUAAGAUCUGAAAUAGGUACUGUUUGUUUAAAUUUCUGACCAUGAACUAGUUUACUAUAAUAAAUAGUUAUUUUCAUACUGAGAUUGUAUGUUGCCUUGUGUGCCAUAAAUGGAAUUGCAUACUGCAGUGUUAAUAAGAUGUUCUUCAUGCUGUUUGUACUGAGGUGCCAAAUAUCACACUAGCACUGAGCAUGAUUUCUUUUUAACAAGUAAAUAACGUCACAGAAGCUUUGAAAAACAAGACAAAAUAUUGAUGGUAUAAAUACUUAAAUUUUGAACUCUUGUUGAGUUAUUUAUUUUGCAAUCUGGUAAUAUGUAAGAUGUUUGGAAACACUUGAGUAGACUUCCUGAUGUGAUUGGAUGUGGAUGGAUGAGUUGAUAGGCUUCCUAAUCAGUUUUAGAAACUGAUUAGGAAGCCUAACUUAAAGAUAUUAAACGAUGAAUUGCUUUGCUUUAGUAAAUAAAAUCCAAAAGAACUACAGAUGCUGUAA